Molecule: long non-coding RNA, 1126 nt
Filed under: Capsella rubella
Lineage: Eukaryota; Viridiplantae; Streptophyta; Magnoliopsida; Brassicales; Brassicaceae
Description: long non-coding RNA (CRUB_LNC003132)
Source: RNAcentral
CCCGAACAAGGCCGACCGAGGUUCCCAAGGAAGGAUACGGGUUAGUCGGUAUCUCCGUGGCCAAUGCGCUCGAGGCUACCUGUCCCUCUUUGUUGGAAUUAUUGUCAGGCUUUUCCACCCAAACCCCAAAAUAAACAAUGUUAGAAAAGCGUUAGCGGAAGCAUAGAAACAAAUAACAAUCAAAGCAAGGAAGAUAGGACAAGAUAGACAAUACUUGACUCGACACAAGCUAAGACUCUCUAGACUCUCUAGAGUCCUAACAUUCUGAUCCAUUCCUAUACAUAAUUAUCUCUCGUUGAAGCCACAAAGGCAUCCAACCGGAGGAAACGUUUUGGCUAAAUCGUCGUGCAGCUUCAUGGCCUAAUCCCGAGUUAUGUACCAAGCACCAUGGUCAAAAUCUAAGGGACCACAAAGGUCAGCCCUUCGAGACACGCAUCGCCAUUGCCGAGGAAACAUAUUAUUUACUUAAGGAUCAAAUCUACAGAUCUGCAACUAAGGACAUAGAAAAGCAAAAACUUCUACGCAAGAAAACUAAUACUAAAAAGGUCGAUAAACAAGCAAACAAGCAAGCAAUAACAAGCAAUCAUCAAGUAAGCUAAGCACACAACGAACAAGAAAGCAAGGGUUCUUUCAAGGUGAUAAUUCUUGGGUAUAUGAAGAAACUAUCAAGAAAAACCUAUUCAUAUUAGCAUGCAAGUUCGUUUUAGUUGGUUAGAUUUUAGGCAAGCAAACUAUCUUGAAACUAGGCCAGAUCUUUAAACAUGCGAAUUCAUUUUUGCAGAAAAUAUAAGCUAUCAUGCAAGGCUACGAAAUAAAAGCAAGCAAAGCAUGCAAUAGGUGCCGUAAAAAAGUCCGAAGACUUAUGCAGCACCCCACAUAAUUGUACCACAACUCACAGUUCUUAUAGAUGGUUUUGAUCGGGCUCCUUUCUUUCACCGAGGAUUGCUACAAACGGUCUUCUUUUCUUCUUGACCUUCGGUAGCUUUGGUCUCGUACCUUGGCAGCACGGAUCCUUGAACUUCGGCAGCAGUUCACUCGAUAAGGGAGCAGUUUUCUCGAGAAAACGAGAGAACUUCAAGAGAGAUACAGAAAAUCUCGAGAGAAUGAAAGCUUUUUUAUCUUUUCG